UGUCUUUCCCACCUACUCUGAGUCCCUCCAGGGGAAGAGCCAGAGCUCCUACCUCUGAAUUCCCAAUGCUCACCAGAAAGCUCAGCAUCCUGGUUAGGGAGAAAAGUAAAAACCAGAGCAGUGAGUGACUCAGGUUUAAAUCUCUCCCCUCGUUAACAGAUGAUUCUGAAGGUGAUUCAGAUCAUCUCUGAUUCUCCCUGUCCUUACUGCUGGGUGGAGGCUUCCUAGGUGACUGUCUUCAGAAGUUGCUUUCAUCUUUAAAGAACUAUUACAACAACUCAAAGCGUCGCAUCAGGCUCCUGGUCAGGGAACUGAAGAUGUCACAUCUGGGCGACAAGACCACUGCUCUGCUACCCCUGCAGCCCACUGGGGUGGUAAACUCGGCCCCAGUAAAAACUAGAAGGACAAAAUACAAUAAGAGACAGACAAACGAACAGAUAAUUCUGUGUCUAUUAGACAUGACAGAACAGAAUGUCACAGGAGCUGAGCUAAGGAGGUACCUCAGAGUGAGUAAUGUAUCAACAAUCAAAAUGGAAAUGCAUUGCUCACCAUCCAAAAGAAGGGAGUCCAAGGUCAAGGCCAAGAUGGUGGAAGACUAUGAAGACUUGCUGUCUGCUCCAAAGAUGGAGCCUCUCUGGUGAGACCUCCAACAGCAGAAGGCAACAGUCAAACAAUCUUCCUAAAGCACUUUUAUAAGAGCACUAAUCCUAUUCACGAAGAUGGGACCCUCACAACUUAACUACUCCACAAGACAACGCUUCUUAAAUAUAUUGCAU
Molecule: long non-coding RNA, 776 nt
Organism: Heterocephalus glaber (naked mole-rat)
Lineage: Eukaryota; Metazoa; Chordata; Mammalia; Rodentia; Bathyergidae
Source: RefSeq, a predicted model, not a curated record